RNAcentral lists this small RNA (214 nucleotides) under Paulinella micropora. Its description in RNAcentral is "spliced leader RNA". The record is from RNAcentral. Lineage: Eukaryota; Cercozoa; Imbricatea; Euglyphida; Paulinellidae.
ACAAGUGUUGCCUGGAUAAUCCGGCUUUUCUGGUAUUCAUCAGCACCUCUCCCUUCUCUUCGCCUUCUCUGGUGAUCACCUUGUUUAGUUUCGUAAGGCCUGCUCAGGCCGCCAGAAUGGACUAAGGGAAGUAAAAGUGUAUUAACUUAUUAGGCGAGUUACAUUUUAUGAAAGUUAAAUUUUGUACCGUACACAAUAAAAGUAAGAACAAUGU